Long non-coding RNA from Haliotis rufescens (red abalone), 144 nucleotides. RefSeq lists it as uncharacterized. The record is from RefSeq and is a predicted model, not a curated record. NCBI's taxonomy places the organism in Eukaryota, Metazoa, Mollusca, Gastropoda, Lepetellida, Haliotidae. The transcript is spliced from 2 exons.
UAUGACCGUUGUGAUAAGGAAUACCAUGGACAUAAUUUAGGUUGAAGAAAAUAUAAGUGGAAAACAACAGUUGUGAUAGGGAUUAUCAAACACAUAAUUCAGGUUGAAGAAAAUAUAAGUGGAAAACAACAGUUGUGAUAGGGA